AGAGUUGAUCCUGGCUAGGACGAACGCUGGCGGCGUGCUUAACACAUGCAAGUCGAACGAGGAUAUACCAGAGGAGAGCUUCGGCAGGAAUCGGGAAUAUUCGAGUGGCGGACGGGUGAGUAACGCGUGAGCAACCUGUCCCAGACAGGGGGAUAACACUUGGAAACAGGUGCUAAUACCGCAUAAGACCACGGUAUCACAUGGUAGUGGGGUAAAAGGAGCAAUCCGGUUUGGGGUGGGCUCGCGUCCGAUUAGAUAGUUGGUGAGGUAACGGCCCACCAAGUCGACGAUCGGUAGCCGACCUGAGAGGGUGAUCGGCCACAUUGGAACUGAGAGACGGUCCAAACUCCUACGGGAGGCAGCAGUGGGGAAUAUUGGGCAAUGGGCGAAAGCCCUGACCCAGCAACGCCGCGUGAGUGAAGAAGGCCUUCGGGUUGUAAAGCUCUGUUAUAGUUGACGAAGGAAGUGACGGUAGGCUAUAAGGAAGCCCCGGCUAACUACGUGCCAGCCGCCGC
This 515-nucleotide ribosomal RNA is filed under the name uncultured bacterium. RNAcentral's name for it is "bacterial SSU rRNA". It matches the Rfam family "Bacterial small subunit ribosomal RNA", at positions 9 to 518 of the family's 1533-position model. The record is from RNAcentral.